CAGUAGCCACGGUAAUACGUAGGGGGCAAGCGUUAUCCGGAAUUACUGGGUGUAAAGGGAGCGUAGACGGUUAAACAAGUCUGAAGUGAAAUGCCGGGGCUCAACCCCGGAGCUGCUUUGGGAACUGUAGAACUGGAGUGUCGGAGGGGUAAGCGGAAUUCCCAGUGUAGCGGUGAAAUGCGUAGAUAUUGGGAGGAACACCGGCGGCGAAGGCGGCUUACUGGACGACAACUGACGUUGAGGCUCGAAGGCGUGGGUAGCAGACAGGAUUAGAUACCCGGGUAGUCCCUGUCUCUUAUAC
Molecule: ribosomal RNA, 301 nt
Filed under: uncultured bacterium
Lineage: Bacteria
Description: partial 16S ribosomal RNA
Rfam family: Bacterial small subunit ribosomal RNA
Source: RNAcentral